This 253-nucleotide ribosomal RNA is filed under the name uncultured bacterium. Its description in RNAcentral is "partial 16S ribosomal RNA". It matches the Rfam family "Bacterial small subunit ribosomal RNA", at positions 524 to 776 of the family's 1533-position model. The record is from RNAcentral.
UACAGGGGGUGCAAACGUUGCUCGGAAUUAUUGGGCGUAAAGCGCGCGUAGGCGGCCACUUAAGUCGGAUGUGAAAGCCCUUGGCUCAACUGAGGAAGUGCACCCGAAACUGGCAGGCUUGAGUACUAAAGAGGGUCGCGGAAUUCCCGGUGUAGAGGUGAAAUUCGUAGAUAUCGGGAGGAACACCGGUGGCGAAGGCGGCGACCUGGGUAGAUACUGACGCUGAGGUGCGAAAGCGUGGGGAGCAAACAGG